RNAcentral lists this ribosomal RNA (1086 nucleotides) under Lytocestus heteropneustii. RNAcentral's name for it is "SSU rRNA". It matches the Rfam family "Eukaryotic small subunit ribosomal RNA", at positions 68 to 965 of the family's 1831-position model. The record is from RNAcentral. Lineage: Eukaryota; Metazoa; Platyhelminthes; Cestoda; Caryophyllidea; Lytocestidae.
CGCCUUAAUACGGCGAAACCGCGAAUGGCUCAUUAAAUCAGCUAUGGUUUAUUGGAUCGUACCCGUCAAAUGGAUAACUGUAAUAACUCUAGAGCUAAUACAUGCCACGAAGCCCUGACUUGUGUCGCCUCGCGCGGUGCAGGGAUGGGUGCUCUUAUUAGAUCAGAAACCAACCGAGUGGUGGCCAGCUUGCUGGUCAUGGCUUGUUGUCGUUCUGGUGACUCUGGAUAAUUGUUACAGAUCGCAGUCGGCCUUGAGUCGGCGACGGGUCCUUCAAAUGUCUGCCCUAUCAACUUUCGAUGGUAGGCAAUCUGCCUACCAUGGUGAUAACGGGUAACGGGGAAUCAGGGUUCGAUUCCGGAGAGGGAGCCUGAGAAACGGCUACCACUUCCAAGGAAGGCAGCAGGCGCGCAAAUUACCCACUCCCGGUACGGGGAGGUGGUGACGAAAAAUACCGAUGCGGGACUCUUCAAGAGGCUCCGUAAUCGGAAUGAGUGAACUCUAAAUCCUUUCACGAGGAUCAAUUGGAGGGCAAGUCUGGUGCCAGCAGCCGCGGUAACUCCAGCUCCAAUAGCGUAUAUUAAAGUUGCUGCAGUUAAAAAGCUCGUAGUUGGAUCUCGGUUGCACUGUUGCCCGCCAUUGCUUGGCCAGAUGGGUGCCGGGUGAUGCAUUGGCCGAGUGCCGUGUUCGCCGUCGGUGUCUGACUGUUGUCGAGUUGGUGUGGUGUCGGUGUCACCUUUUAGCCAUGUCUGUGGUGCAAUACCCACAGGUGUAGGCGAGUGUCGGGCGGUGCCUUGCACACGUAGGGUCCGUCGGCUCGUCUGCAUGCCUUUGGAUGCCCUUCAAAAGGUGUCUGUGGGCGGAUGGCACGUUUACUUUGAACAAAUUUGAGUGCUCAAACCAGGCCGCUGUAGCCUGAAAAGUUUUGCAUGGAAUAAUGGAAUAGGACUUCGGUUCUAUUUUGUUGGUUUUCGGAUCCGAAGUAAUGAUCAAAAGAGACAGGCGGGGACGUUUGUAUGGUUGCGCUAGAGGUGAAAUUCAUGGACCGUAACCAGACAGACUAAAGCGAAAGCAUUCGUCAAGCAU